This 253-nucleotide ribosomal RNA is filed under the name uncultured bacterium. RNAcentral's name for it is "partial 16S ribosomal RNA". It matches the Rfam family "Bacterial small subunit ribosomal RNA", at positions 524 to 776 of the family's 1533-position model. The record is from RNAcentral.
UACAGAGGGUGCGAGCGUUGUUCGGAAUUAUUGGGCGUAAAGGGCGCGUAGGCGGCGCCACAAGUCACUUGUGAAAACUCUGGGCUCAACUCAGAGCCUGCAAGCGAAACUGUGGUGCUGGAGUAUGGGAGAGGUGCGUGGAAUUCCCGGUGUAGCGGUGAAAUGCGUAGAUAUCUGGAGGAAUACCGGUGGCGAAGGCGGCAUCCUGGACCGGCAUUGACGCUGAGGAGCGAAAGCCAGGGGAGCAAACGGG